GAUGAACGCUGGCGGCGUGCCUAAUACAUGCAAGUCGAGCGAACGGACGAGAAGCUUGCUUCUCUGAUGUUAGCGGCGGACGGGUGAGUAACACGUGGAUAACCUACCUAUAAGACUGGGAUAACUUCGGGAAACCGGAGCUAAUACCGGAUAAUAUUUUGAACCGCAUGGUUCAAAAGUGAAAGACGGUCUUGCUGUCACUUAUAGAUGGAUCCGCGCUGCAUUAGCUAGUUGGUAAGGUAACGGCUUACCAAGGCAACGAUGCAUAGCCGACGUGAGAGGGUGAUAGGCGACACUGGAGCUGGAACAGGGUCCAGACGCCUACGGGAGGGAGCAGUAGGGAAUCUUCCGCAGUGGGGGAAAGCCUGACGGAACAGCGCCGCGUGAGUGAUGAAAGUCCUCGGAGCGUAAAACUCUGUUAUUAGUGAAGAACAUAUUUGUAAGUAACUGUGCACAUCGUGACGGUACCUAAUCAGAAAGCCACGGCUAACUACGUG
This 497-nucleotide ribosomal RNA is filed under the name uncultured bacterium. Its description in RNAcentral is "partial 16S ribosomal RNA". It matches the Rfam family "Bacterial small subunit ribosomal RNA", at positions 28 to 507 of the family's 1533-position model. The record is from RNAcentral.